ACUACGGGAGGCAGCAGUGAGGAAUAUUGGUCAAUGGGCGCGAGCCUGAACCAGCCAAGUAGCGUGAAGGAUGACUGCCCUACGGGUUGUAAACUUCUUUUAUAAAGGAAUAAAGUGAGGCACGGGUGCCUUUUUGUAUGUACUUUAUGAAUAAGGAUCGGCUAACUCCGUGCCAACAGCCGCGGUAAUACUGAGGAUCCGAGCGUUAUCCGGCUUUAUUUGGUUUAAAGGGUGAGUAGAUGGGUUGUUAAGUGAGUUGUGAAAGUUUGCGGCUCAACCGGAAAAUUGCAAUUGAUAAUGGCAGUCUGGAGUACAGUUGCGGUAGGCGGAAUUCGUGGUGUAGCGGUGAAAUGCUUAGAUAUC
This 363-nucleotide ribosomal RNA is filed under the name uncultured bacterium. Its description in RNAcentral is "partial 16S ribosomal RNA". It matches the Rfam family "Bacterial small subunit ribosomal RNA", at positions 338 to 698 of the family's 1533-position model. The record is from RNAcentral.